This 253-nucleotide ribosomal RNA is filed under the name uncultured bacterium. Its description in RNAcentral is "partial 16S ribosomal RNA". It matches the Rfam family "Bacterial small subunit ribosomal RNA", at positions 524 to 776 of the family's 1533-position model. The record is from RNAcentral.
UACGAAAGGGGCUAGCGUUGUUCGGAAUUACUGGGCGUAAAGCGCACGUAGGCGGCACUGUCAGUUGGGGGUGAAAUCCCGGAGCUCAACUCCGGAACUGCCUUCAAGACUGCAGAGCUGGAGGAUGCGAGAGGUGAGUGGAAUUCCGAGUGUAGAGGUGAAAUUCGUAGAUAGUCGGAAGAACACCAGUGGCGAAGGCGGCUCACUGGCGCAUUUCUGACGCUGUGGUGCGAAAGCGUGGGGAGCAAACAGG